UACCCCUUUUUUGUGGUGCUCCUCCAAUAUUUUGGGAUAUCACUGUGUACGGUGGUGCCGAAUGCAAGGCGACAUAUUUGCGGCUUCACCAUGUUAUGCUUGCUGGCUGGGAUUGUGCCAAAUAUCACAUUCUUUUAUUUUUUCUUCAACCUCAAGUGGCACCCAAGCUUACACAGGUGGUGGUAUGUGACUCUGUGGAAGAAGGAUGGCUUUCGUCUGAUAUUUUCAGGUAUGCCUUCCACCAUGCACGGUUGGAAGCCAAGGUUUCUCUUCGUCUCAUAAACAUCAAGCGAAGACUAGAAUUUUUUCACCUAGGGCAAACCUCAGGAGGCUGUGCUAAAGGAACCUUCAAUGGAUAAGAGCCUGGAGCAGGAGAUGGCAGCUCUACAGAGU
This 393-nucleotide long non-coding RNA is filed under the name Elaeis guineensis (African oil palm). RNAcentral describes it as "long non-coding RNA (EGUI_LNC069382)". Lineage: Eukaryota; Viridiplantae; Streptophyta; Magnoliopsida; Arecales; Arecaceae. The record is from RNAcentral.